RNAcentral lists this ribosomal RNA (253 nucleotides) under uncultured bacterium. Its description in RNAcentral is "partial 16S ribosomal RNA". It matches the Rfam family "Bacterial small subunit ribosomal RNA", at positions 524 to 776 of the family's 1533-position model. The record is from RNAcentral.
UACAGAGGGGGCAAGCGUUAUUCGGAAUUAUUGGGCGUAAAGGGCGCGUAGGCGGCCUGGCAAGUGGAAGGUGAAAUCCCUCGGCUUAACCGAGGAACUGCCCUCCAAACUGCUUGGCUUGAGUCCGGGAGAGGUGAGUGGAAUUCCUGGUGUAGCGGUGAAAUGCGCAGAUAUCAGGAGGAACACCGAUGGCGAAGGCAGCUCGCUGGGACGUGACUGACGCUGAGACGCGAAAGCGUGGGGAGCAAACAGG